Molecule: long non-coding RNA, 546 nt
Organism: Amphiprion ocellaris (clown anemonefish)
Lineage: Eukaryota; Metazoa; Chordata; Actinopteri; Pomacentridae
Source: Ensembl
CAAAUGUGAUCCAGAUUCAGACUGAGAUAUACAAGAACGACCCAGUAGAGGGAGCAUUUAAAGUCUAUGAAGACUUUGUAUUGUACAAGUCUGGCAAGAACACAUGCAGCAGUAAGAGAUGUAAUGCAAACACGCAUUACACUGAAUAUUGAGUACAGGGUGAACCCUAAUUGCAUAUUCUGCUCAGUGAUACAGUGUGUACAGUGUUGCUUGGGACCUCGUGGUUCCCACUUGUGUUUCUUGCGUCCUCUUCCUGUCUCCAGGUGUGUAUCAACACGUUUCAGGCUCUGCUGUGGGUAGACAUGCCAUCAAGAUCCUGGCUGGGGAGAGGAGGAUGGUGUUUCCUACUGGCUCUGUGUCAACUCCUGGAACACUGACUGGGGUGAUAAUGGAAUGGAGAGAGCCACACAGCCUGUUGGUGGACCUUCAGAUGCCUCAGAUGACGACUCUGGCCAAGAAGGGACAUCUAAAGAUGACGAGAUGAGAGAACCCAGCAGGAAAAUGAAACGACACAAUAAACAUGCAGCUGAAGUGGAUGAUCCCAGG